Molecule: ribosomal RNA, 191 nt
Filed under: uncultured Syntrophus sp.
Lineage: Bacteria; Pseudomonadati; Thermodesulfobacteriota; Syntrophia; Syntrophales; Syntrophaceae
Description: partial 16S ribosomal RNA
Rfam family: Bacterial small subunit ribosomal RNA
Source: RNAcentral
CUCAUGCCCUUAUGACCCUGGGCUACACACGUGCUACAAUGGUUGGUACAACGAGAUGCAAUCUCGCAAGAGCAAGCAAACCUCAAAAAGCCAUCCUCAGUUCGGAUUGGAGUCUGCAACUCGACUCCAUGAAGUCGGAAUCGCUAGUAAUCGCGGAUCAGCACGCCGCGGUGAAUACGUUCCCGGGCCUU